AAAAACGACCCGCGAAUCGUCAUUGCGUAGUAGACAGAGCCCGUGAGCACCUAACGCUCAUGGGGCUCGCGUCGCGUCGGCGCGGGUGUACUCGAGACCCGCGUCGUACCGACGGACAAACAACGUCAGCACGGAUCGUGCCAAGGAGCCGCAUGGAGAGAAUCGUCGUCCCACGCCUUUGAUAGUCCCCGAUGUGGGACGGGGGACGUACGCAAUCUCUAAUCAAGUCUAAACGACUCUCGGCAACGGAUAUCUCGGCUCUUGCAUCGAUGAAGAACGUAGCGAAAUGCGAUACUUGGUGUGAAUUGCAGAAUCCCGUGAACCAUCAAUUCUUUGAACGCAAGUUGCGCCCGAAGCCACACAGGCCGAGGGCACGCCUGCCUGGGUGUCGUGAAUCCCCUUGCCCCUGGGCACCCGCACGAGCAUCGGCGGGGAUAUACGCUGGGGCGCAGAAUAUGGUCUCCCGUGGGAUCGGCAUGCACGGCAUGUCGAGGUGCGGUUGGCCGAAAAUCGAGCAUGGCGGUGACGGGCACCACGGCGUUCGGUGGAUCGAAUGAGAUUGGCUGCGCCGUGGGCUCGGCAUGCGGCGGGCUCCGGACUUUGAAUUUCCCCGAGUGCGAUCCCAGGUCAGGCGGGGCUACCCGCUGAGUUUAAG
RNAcentral lists this ribosomal RNA (655 nucleotides) under Miconia monocephala. RNAcentral's name for it is "eukaryotic LSU rRNA". The stretch from base 235 to 391 matches the Rfam family "5.8S ribosomal RNA". The record is from RNAcentral. Lineage: Eukaryota; Viridiplantae; Streptophyta; Magnoliopsida; Myrtales; Melastomataceae.